RNAcentral lists this long non-coding RNA (5238 nucleotides) under Heterocephalus glaber (naked mole-rat). RNAcentral's name for it is "lncRNA (ENSHGLG00000044738.1)". Lineage: Eukaryota; Metazoa; Chordata; Mammalia; Rodentia; Bathyergidae. The record is from RNAcentral.
UAGUCUGGGUUUUGGAGGCUCUCAGCUUGCUACGAAUGUCGACAAAGACUGUGGGGCCAGCAGAGUACGAGGACUUGGUCAGCAAAUGUGCUUCAGAGAAAUCAGAACUCACCUCAGAGCACACAGCAGCCUCCAGUCAGCAUCCCAGGCAUUUACUUGUUACUUCCUGGGUCACAAAUUCGCUCAGCCACCAAGAUUUCCAGUGGAAAGCUAGCAGCCAUUGCCAACACAGAACACAGCAAACCAAGCGGGCAGGCAGCAAACCAGUCUGGAGAAAAAUGGUUUUAGAGGCAGUCUGACACACUUAGUAUUUGUCACCAUCACCAGAGGCCACUGGGGCUGCUGCCACCCACACGCGUCUCUCUCCACAAGAACCAUCCGUCUCUUAAGAGGACAGAAGCCCCAGGACGGUGCAGGAAGACACUGUUCCCUAUUUGUGAAUACUUUAUUAGAAAGCUUUACAACAAUACAGAAAUUAAAUCAUGUUUAGCAAGAAGUUGUCAGAUUGCUUUUAUUCAGAAUAACGUGACGUGAUGCAGACAGCACGGGCCAUGAGGCUGUCCUACUCCUAGCACCUCGGCUGUGCCCAAAGACACUGCCAAGCUGACAUCGUGUGCGGCAGUCAACUGGCCCAAAACGGGGCGUGACAGGCUCUUCCCAUCGGACAGCCGCUUCUAAGAUGCAGGUGGGCAUCCUGGGUGCCAUGGAGACCAGCCACCAGUGAGUGGGGUGAAGCCCGAGAGAGAGGCCAGGAAACCCAACCUCACAGCCAUGGCGACUGGGUGUAAAAAGCCACGCUGGGGAAAAAGCCAUGCGGUCUGGGGCAUCAUCACGACUAAUAUCGGCUAACUAGCUGGAGACUAUUGUUAGCCAUUACCCCACCACAGCCCGGGCUGACCUUGGGCGGGAGAGCAACAUUCAGACAUUUGUUGCGUCUGGAGCAACAGGCCAGGGUGUAAGGGGAGCCAGCGACCUUCCCAGGACGGCCAGGCUCGCCAGGGCUCCCGCAUGGGCUGCUCUGUCCCGCCAACCCGGCUGGUGCCCAUCAGGAGCCUGUCUAGCACCUCUGUUUUCUCCUCACUUGGUUCUGAUGAUUUCUCCCACCCUACCCCCACAUUUGCACACUCAGAUACAAACACAAGCCUGCCGACGCGGACCGACAUGGAACCAAACCGCAUCCAUAGGGUAAACGCACCAGACGGCAGCUAUCAGGCCACAGCCAGCCAAGCGCUCACCUGUCCGGUCGUCCACGGUCCCGGCCCGCCUUGAGGCUCGGGCUGCAGCCCUGGCUCCUGGACCCCAGAGACUGGCCUCGACCGUGCAGAGCUUCGGCGUGGGCACCAAGCGAUCCAACCCUGCGGCCGGGGUGCCGAGACGCACAGUUAGCACCUGCGACACAGCGCGACCCCGGCGCCGCGUCCCGCCUCAGGGCGCUCGCGGUUGGGAGGCCAGGACCCCUGCGUCAGCCGCGGUCAGCCCGGGACUGCGGACGUCGGGGCCCCGCGCGGUCCCGGCCGAGGCUGCGGACGCACAGGCACCAGCGGCGGCCCCAGACGGAGGGACCGAGGCGCCAGCCCUGCCCCGCUCCCCCGGCGCGCGGGUCCGCUGCCACCGCCCCCGGCUCCGAAAGGCCGCCGGGCCCGGCCCCCACUUGCCCAGAGUUUUCCGGCGCGCUCGACCCAGGGCCGCGGGGUAACCAGGCAGCGCUGAGCCUGCACCUCGUCGUCAGCCGACUGUCCCGCUGCUCAGGACCCAGGCCAGGCCGCCCCGCCGCGCCCGAGCCCACCCGGCCGCCCGUCGCGACCCCGGCUCUGGUCCAGGCCGCUGCACUGCCUACAGGGAGCCGUAGUUCGCGGACCUGGGCCAGUGGGCGGGGCGGGAGCUCCCAGGAGCGCCUGCGCAUAACGCAGGCAGCACCGCGCAAGGGGGCGGGGCGGGAGCUCCCAGGAGACCCCGCGCGUGUGACAUUCCCGGCGCAGACUCGAGUGUACGGUUGCGAUCGAACGGGUGGGCCUGGGCCGGCCGGGCCUGGGGCCUUCUGUGUCUGCGCGAUCGCCUCCUGGCAAAGAAGGCCACAUAGUGAGGAGAGGACGGUCCUCAGAAAGAGAGAGACUCGCGCCUGACGGUCAACUGGGCGAGCGGACACCGGGCACAGAAAGGGGCCGUGGGGAAGUCCCAGUAGAUGAAUGUGCGUAAGGGGGCGGGUCUGGCGCGCCCCUCCCCCCCAGUGGAAUCUUUCUGCGCUUGCGCAGGGAUUUCCGAGGCUGCAUUCCGUCGCCGUGGAGACGGAGGCUCCCUGAGUGACGUCUUGCUCGGAAUAGGCGGGGCUUCCAGAAAUGAAGCGGAAAAAGCAUCCUCUGUUGUGUUUCCAAUUUUAUUUGAGACAGGCUCCCACUAAAUUCCCCAGGCCCCCCAACUUGUGAUUCUCCUGCCUUAGUCUUCCAUUUAGCUAGGAUGAUAGGCGUGCGUGAUCACGCCUGACUUUUCUCUCUACAGGGGGUUAAACCAGGGCCUUAUCACUGAGCUACAUCCCCUUUUUAAAUUUUUAUUCUUUGAGAUGGGGUCUUGCUAAAUAGCUGAAUUGACCAAGCAGGGCUCAAAUUUGUGAUCCACUACCUGUGGACCACCACGUCAGGUUGAACCAAUUUUAUUUAUUUUUCAGUAUUGGAGAUUAAACCCAGGACUGAGCUAUAUCUUUGGCCCUUUUAAAAUUUUGAACAGGGUCUCACUAAGUUGCCCAGGCUGGGCUCGAACUUGGAAUCCUUCUUCGCCAUCCUCCCAGAGUGCUAGGAUUACAAGCAUGUGCCACCAUGCCCGAUUUAUCCAACAUUUUUUGAUGGCAUUGUUUUAAAAUCUAAGUCAUGCCCCUACUUUCUUUUUUUGGUUUUGGUUUUGUGGUGUGGGGUUGAAACCCAGAGCGUCCCACGUUCCAGCCAAGCACUCUCCCCCUGCAGCCUACACCAGCUGUUGCCUAGCCUGCCACACGGCUCUCAAAGAACCUUUUCUCUCUACUUUGCUGAAGUGAGUCCUCUAGCAGCCCCUGAGAAGGGUAUGUAUCUGAGCAUGUGUUUAUCCUGGGUGUCCCCAGCCCCCUACUUUCUGUGUUUCGACUGGCAAACAAUCCCUGACCACUCUGGCACCAGUCUGCUGUAUACUCUCCCUGCAGGACUGAACCCAAGUCACACCUUGAACAUUCAAAGACACUGAUCCGCUUAGGCCAUUGCCUCAGACUCCAAAGAUCAAACAUGUUGCUGAACAUGUGGAACCUGGCCACCUUGAGCCCCAUUCCCUCAACCCCAUUCCCUGGCCCACUGCCAUGGACACAGGGCAUUCCUUUGCUUUCAUGUGUGCCUGAGGACACAUUGAGUGAGGCCCCUAAUCAGUGUUUUGGACCGACCUCAGGACUCUUUAACAGCUUCUGUGUCUGGAACCUCAGUAGGUCCCAUCUUGGGAAGACUUGAGGCAGUCACUUGUAGGAGCUCCCUUACCACUGUUUCUGGGGUGACUCCAGGCACCUUUUUUGGCUGCAUAGGAGAACUGGUGUAAUCAACACAAUUCCAAAAAAAUGUACCUGGAAAAACAACUGCUGAGGGAGAUGCUGUGGUGGCCACAAUGGCCUGUGCAGGCUGUCGCCUGCCUGCUUGGUGCUGGAAGCCACCCAGGGAGUGAAUAGAUGUCCCAGCAGCCAGCCAGGAGGGAGCCAGCUGAGAGAGGAGAGACAGAAGCACAGCCACGGCUCAGCUAGUGGCCCAGAGCUAGAGCAUGAGUCAGGAGGAACUGUGAAGAGAAGCACUCCUGUGCCUCUCCUGUGGUUGCACACAAAAGGGAAGGUAGGACUGGGGAUUUAGCUCAGUGGUUUCGCCGCCUGCUGCACAAGCACAAGGACCCGAAUUAGAUCCCCAGUACCCAAAAAAAAAGGGAAGUGGGAGGUUCCCUGAGACCUGGGGAGCAGAGCCCUGGCACCUGCAGUGAAGAGUAGAGCCAGGGCCUCCAUGCCAAAGGGAGGCUGGCAGGUGGAUGGGUGGGGUAGACACAGGCAAGAGCAGGGUCUCCAGAGUCCCUUCUGGGGCGCCAAUGGGCAAGCAGGCUGGAGGGGCCCAGUGCGGCAGCCCAACUGGACAGGGUAGCCAGGGCCAGCCCUGUUGUAGGACCAGUCAGGGAAUUGGUUCCCCCAGGGAAAGCGAGGAUUCCUUGCUGCCCUCAGAACAACCAGGGUGACUGCAUUGUGGUGCACACCUAUAAUCUCAGCAUUUGGGAGGCUGAGGUAGGGGGAUCAUGAAUGUGAGGCCCACCUAGGCUCCAUAGGAAGGCUGUCUCUCACUGUGGCAGGACCCUUCCCCAGGAGUCUGGCCAGGGCCCCCAAAGGAAUGUGGUAGAGGGGGUGGCUUCUCAGAGCCAAGAAAGACAACAUGGCUCGUAGUUCCUAGACGUGCAUGUGUAGUUCCAGCCCUGCUCUGUGAUACUGAUUGCACCCAAUCAGUCUGGUACAUCAGUGUCUCCGUUUAUGGGAAAGACAGACAUGCCGCCAUGUUCAGUGGGUUAAUACCCACUGAGCCCCAUGCCGGCACAAAUAAAUGCCACUUCCUGGGAAAAGCCUCGGUGUCCUGCCUCUCUGUGAGACCUCCUACCUUUCUUGGGGGCUCUCUCGGAUUUAGAGAGUUGGAGAUGGUGCAUUCCAACUCCUGUGUUGCCAGUGUGAACCUUGGAGCACUGGAGACGCGAACUUGUCUGGCACCAGCGACCAUUUCAUCUAUAGGGAGGUUGGCUCCCCCUGGUGUGUCGGUAAACCUCAGACGCACAGUGGAACUGCUGAGGCUCAGGAACUAGUUUGAGGAGUGCCACCGCGACAGAUUGGCUGGAGUCGUUGUUUGACUGUAUGUGAAUGAUAUGGACAGUGGAAAGGCUCUGACCUGACCAAGGGCCCAAAGGGAGACAAAGAGGACUGCGAGGACCAGGCAACCUCAUGCAAGAACCAAGGGACCCUCUGGAGUCCCUGCCCCAGCCUGCAAUUCCCAGCUACACUGGACCUGCAGCUCUGCCUCAACGUGAGCCAGCACCAGCCUAGGAGGACCCAGUCCCUGACACUGCAGCUGCACCAGGAGAAAAAGACUGACUUUAUCCUUGGUUUGAGAGAAAAUUAAAAUGGAAACAAAGCUUUUGUACAUAGGGGAGGGGAUUGAGGGGGAAAAUGGGGUAAAAUAAAAUAAAAUUUAUUUUAAAAUAAAAAGAGAAGGUGCC